GAUGAACGCUGGCGGCGUGCCUAACACAUGCAAGUCGAACGGAGUCCAGCCUUUAAGACCUUCGGGUCAAAGAGGGGAAGACUGAGUGGCGGACGGGUGAGUAACACGUGGGCAACCUGGCUCAUAGAGGGGGAUAACAGAGAGAAAUUUCUGCUAAUACCGCAUAAGCACACCCUGCCGCAUGGCAGAGGGUGAAAAGAGAAUCGCUAUGAGAUGGACCCGCGUCUGAUUAGCCAGUUGGCAGGGUAAGAGCCUACCAAAGCGACGAUCAGUAGCCGAUCUGAGAGGAUGAACGGCCACAUUGGGACUGAGACACGGCCCAAACUCCUACGGGAGGCAGCAGUGGGGGAUAUUGCACAAUGGGGGGAACCCUGAUGCAGCGACGCCGCGUGAGUGAAGAAGUAUUUCGGUAUGUAAAGCUCUGUCAGCAGGGAAGAUAAUGACAGUACCUGAAUAAGAAGCCCCGGCUAACUACGUG
RNAcentral lists this ribosomal RNA (478 nucleotides) under uncultured bacterium. RNAcentral's name for it is "partial 16S ribosomal RNA". It matches the Rfam family "Bacterial small subunit ribosomal RNA", at positions 28 to 507 of the family's 1533-position model. The record is from RNAcentral.